UGUAAUGAAGUUAAGAAUCUUAAUAUAAGAUUAUCCUGGAAUACCUGACUGGGACCUAAAUCCAAUGACAACCGUCCUUAUAAGAAAAGUGGAGACACGUGGAGGCAAAGGUGCUGUGAACAUGAAGCUAGAGAUAGCAGUGAUGUGGCCACAAGCCAAGGAAGCCCGGGAAUGCCAACAGCCACCAAAAGCUGGAAGAGGUAGGGAGGGAUUCACCUCUAGAGACUCCAGAGGGUCAUGGCCCUGCUGACACCUUGAUUUCGGAAUCCCAGCCUCCAAAAUGGUGAGAGAAUAAAUUUCUGUUGUUUGAAGCCACCUGGUUUAUGAUGAUUUAUUACAGCAGCCCAGAGAAACUAAUACAGUACAGUGGGAACAGGGCCAAGGGAGGUGGUCAGCAGAAAUGAAGCACUGUCCGGAUGGUGUGAAAGUGAUCUAUGCUGUGGUCAGAACAGUGGAAGGCCAUGAACUUUGCCGGCGAGUGCCUUUGUUCUGAGUCAAAGUGUUCCUCGGUAUGUGAAGGACAUCAGGUCCAAAGGCUGCUAGUGACUGAACAGAUAACGUGAAUUCCAUCAAAGCUUGACUUCUGCUCAUCCCUACCUCUCCUCCCGAAGAUAGUACGGAAUUGCAAGGGAAGAAUUGGUCCACGUCUGUGAGAGGAGGCCUCUGAAACACGCUGACUUCACAGAGGAGAAGGAAUGAGCUCAAUUUCAGGCACCUCCUCCGGGGCGGUCAAGAGCAGAAUGAAGGAGAACAUGUAUGGCCCUAGGUUGGCCUUGAAGAAUUAGAGAAGCUGCUGGUGCCCCGCCCCCAACCUGGCCCAACAGCAGAGCCUCCGCUAGGGGGAGCCGUGGAGACCUGAUUUCCUCUGCGCCGCCUUUCCUAAUGAAUACCCCAGGGGAGCUCCUGGCAGCACCCUGUGGAAUGGCCCCGCGGAGCUCUGGCCCCUGGAAUUUGCCCUUCACAAUUAUGCUCCCUGCUGGGAGAAGUAUAAAUAUGGAUGGAGCGUGGCGUCUUUAAACAUGGCACAAGAGUAGAGGAACAACCAAGUCCAAAUGAUAAUAUUUUGAAACGCCACGGGGAGCCUCUGCUGCUGUUGAGUUAGAAUUGCUUCUCUUUCAUGUGAUUAAAGAAGCCCUUGUGGGUUUUUGCUUUUCCUUAGAGACAUACCAUGGUUUCUCCCCCCGCACUACAGCACUGAACGAUUUUUAAGGUUUCUAAGUGCACUCCAUUUACAUUUCCUACUCAUUCUCUAAAUGAAAGGCAGGCUAAAACACAUUAAUGAGCUUCCUGAUUACUGCAGCCCUUGAGAAAUUAAUUAAUGACAAUGCAGCCACACUUAACAUUCCUCCUCCUUUCUGAGUUUGGAAAGCGGGAGGAGCUGCGCUUUAAUCCACGCCCAACCAAGAGCCACCAUGUGUCUUUAGCCGAAGAGUUGGUUUGCCAGGACACAUUUCAGAUUGCCUUUCCUAGAGAAAAGCCAUUCCCUGAAUAAUUAAGAGACAG
RNAcentral lists this long non-coding RNA (1503 nucleotides) under Homo sapiens (human). RNAcentral's name for it is "HSALNT0009771". The record is from RNAcentral. Lineage: Eukaryota; Metazoa; Chordata; Mammalia; Primates; Hominidae.